CUCGAUACCGUGUAAAACAUAUUCCGUGUACAUGCACGUGUCGCUCGCAUACGCUUGUAAAACCUCUAAGGACUUAUCUGUAGGUAGGAGGGUGAUUGGAAGAGAGAACGACCGAUUCGCAGAUAUACGUACUCCGAGAGGAAUUGGAAUCCGUUUUAUCGCACAUUGGUCAAUGCCCGAUAAGGAGAAAGAGAGAGAGAGAGAGAGAGAGAAAGAGAGAGAAGAAGAAGAAAAAAAGUGAAAAAACCCUCUUCAAAUUCGAUCAGCAUUCGUAACGGAUUGACGUAAUUACACGGAUUGAAUAAACUUUGGCAAAUUUUAGCGAACAGACGGGCGGUUAUCAGCGUUAUAUAUGUAUACACACAUAUAUCCGUCCGUCGAAUCGCAAAAAGUGGAUGAAGU
Molecule: unclassified non-coding RNA, 402 nt
Filed under: Athalia rosae (coleseed sawfly)
Lineage: Eukaryota; Metazoa; Arthropoda; Insecta; Hymenoptera; Athaliidae
Description: misc RNA ENSAEAG00005011624.1
Source: RNAcentral